CCCAGUAAGGAAUAUUGGUCAAUGGACGAAAGUCUGAACCAGCCAUGCCGCGUGGAGGAUGAAGGUCCUCUGGAUUGUAAACUUCUUUUAUAUGGGACGAAAAAAGGGUUUUCUAACUCGUCUGACGGUACCAUAUGAAUAAGCACCGGCUAACUCCGUGCCAGCAGCCGCGGUAAUACGGAGGGUGCAAGCGUUAUCCGGAUUCACUGGGUUUAAAGGGUGCGUAGGUGGGCUGGUAAGUCAGAGGUGAAAUCUCCGGGCUCAACUCGGAAACUGCCUUUGAUACUAUUAGUCUUGAAUAUUGUGGAGGUCAGCGGAAUAUGUCAUGUAGCGGUGAAAUGCUUAGAUAUGACAUAGAACACCAAUUGCGAAGGCAGCUGGCUACGCAUAUAUUGACACUGAGGCACGAAAGCGUGGGGAUCAAACAGGAUUAGAUACCCUGGUAGUCCACGCCCUAAACUAUGGAUACUCGACAUACGCGAUACACUGUGUGUGUCUGAGCGAAAGCAUUAAGUAUCCCACCCGGGAAGUAC
This 533-nucleotide ribosomal RNA is filed under the name uncultured bacterium. RNAcentral's name for it is "bacterial SSU rRNA". It matches the Rfam family "Bacterial small subunit ribosomal RNA", at positions 350 to 883 of the family's 1533-position model. The record is from RNAcentral.